RNAcentral lists this ribosomal RNA (502 nucleotides) under uncultured bacterium. RNAcentral's name for it is "partial 16S ribosomal RNA". It matches the Rfam family "Bacterial small subunit ribosomal RNA", at positions 28 to 507 of the family's 1533-position model. The record is from RNAcentral.
GACGAACGCUGGCGGCGUGCCUAAUACAUGCAAGUCGAACGAACCGCGACUAGGUGCUUGCACUUGGUCAAGGUGAGUGGCGAACGGGUGAGUAACACGUGGGUAACCUACCUCAUAGUGGGGGAUAACAGUCGGAAACGACUGCUAAUACCGCAUAGGACAUAGGAUCACAUGAUCCAGUGAGGAAAGGUGGCGCAAGCUAUCGCUAAGAGAUGGACCCGCGGUGCAUUAGCUAGUUGGUAGGGUAAAGGCCUACCAAGGCGAUGAUGCAUAGCCGACCUGAGAGGGUGAUCGGCCACAUUGGGACUGAGACACGGCCCAAACUCCUACGGGAGGCAGAAGUAGGGAAUCUUCCGCAAUGGACGCAAGUCUGACGGAGCAACGACGCGUGAGUGAAGAAGGUCUUCGGAUCGUAAAGCUCUGUUGUUAGAGAAGAACAGCGCAUAGAGUAACUGUUAUGCGUGUGACGGUAUCUAACCAGAAAGCCACGGCUAACUACGUG